GAUGAACGCUGGCGGCGUGCCUAAUACAUGCAAGUCGAACGAAAAGACGAGGAGUUUGUUCCUUUGACGUUAGCGGCGGGCGGGAGUGUAACACGUGUAUCACCCCCUUAUAAUUCGGGGAAAAUUUGGGAAAACCGGCUAUAAUACCGGAGAAUAUAUUGAACCGCGGUGGGGAUUGGAAAAUUACGGUUUUGGUGUAUCUAAUAGCUGCUUCCGCGCCGCAUUGGCUGGUUGUUAAGGUAACGGCUUACCAAGGCAACGAGGCGUAGCCGAGGUGAGAGGGGGAUCGGCCACACUGGAACUGAGCCACGGUCCAGACUCCUACGGGAGGCAGCAGUAGGGAAUCUUCCGCAAUGGGCGAAAGCCUGACGCAACAACGCCGCGUGAGUGAUGAAGGCCUUCGGAUCGUAAAGCUCUGUUAUUAGGGAAGAACAAAUGUGGAAUUAACUAUACACGUCUUGACGGUACCUAAUCAGAAAGCCACGGCUAACUACGUG
RNAcentral lists this ribosomal RNA (497 nucleotides) under uncultured bacterium. RNAcentral describes it as "partial 16S ribosomal RNA". It matches the Rfam family "Bacterial small subunit ribosomal RNA", at positions 28 to 507 of the family's 1533-position model. The record is from RNAcentral.